RNAcentral lists this long non-coding RNA (278 nucleotides) under Nicotiana benthamiana. Its description in RNAcentral is "long non-coding RNA (NBEN_LNC011785)". Lineage: Eukaryota; Viridiplantae; Streptophyta; Magnoliopsida; Solanales; Solanaceae. The record is from RNAcentral.
ACAUUUGUAACCUUAGUUAGCCCAUCAUAAACUAAGGUUACCCUUUUGGGUAUCUACACAUUAGUCCUACACUUUAGUAUGACAACACAUUGGCUCCCUUAACAUAAUGUCCAUAAGACCACAUAUUUAGGCCAAACCAAAAGAUAGCACAUAACAUAUAAUUAUCCAUAUAUUGUUCAUAUGUGUGUAGAUAUAAGUCCACAUAUCUAGAUAUAAAUCCAUAUAUCUUACACUUAAUACACCGUGUUGCUCUUUUUAUGCAUCCGGUAUCAGAAACC